GAGUAUGCCAUGCGUUGCAAGUGCUUCAUCACACAACCUAUCAAGGAGACUUCCGCAGAGAGCAAGUCUGGGGUGUUGCUACUUAGGCCUCAACUACAAUUUCAUUCAAGUAGUCUGAAGCGGAAAAUGAGUUUCUCCUGUUUAUUUUCAUGCCUUAAUUUUUGGAUGAAUUGUGCCAGUGCCGGGAGUUGGCUUUUCACACCAUUCAGGAUAUGAAAAGACAUCAAAGGUGGACAUUGGUGGAACUGCAGUAGAAACUGGAACUUCCCACCAAUAUUUCAUUACAUUUUGAUGCCAUGUGACAGAUGUCAGAAGAGGAGCAGUCUACCAGAGUGGCAUCUGACAUGGAAAUGAG
Gallus gallus (chicken) is the source of this 355-nucleotide long non-coding RNA. The record is from Ensembl. NCBI's taxonomy places the organism in Eukaryota, Metazoa, Chordata, Aves, Galliformes, Phasianidae.